Oncorhynchus tshawytscha (Chinook salmon) is the source of this 1423-nucleotide long non-coding RNA. RefSeq lists it as uncharacterized. The transcript is spliced from 3 exons. Lineage: Eukaryota; Metazoa; Chordata; Actinopteri; Salmoniformes; Salmonidae. The record is from RefSeq and is a predicted model, not a curated record.
UAGUAUUAUUUACUAUUUUACACGUGCUACUAGUCUUUGUUGACACCACAAACUCGCUGACUCCAGCUGUCAAAACAACAGGCCUUUGUCGUGUUAGAACAGAAAAAGGGAACAUUUUCCGGACUUUCACAUUGAGUAACUACUCUGUUUUACACUGUGAGCUCUCCAAAUUGAUUUCCCAGUCGCGUUCCAAAAAUUCAUCCACACAAAAGUACGUUGAGAGCUACGCAAAUGAACCACUAUCACAUCCAUUGUGUAGAUUGUGUAGAUCUAGGGUGCUUUCAAGACAACUGGGAACUUGGAAAACACUUGAUCAAAUCUUGACGUCAGUGAUCUUCAGGUCGUCUCUUGUGUGAAGAGGACUUCAAGCAGACCGGAAGAUAUGGUGCUGCCAUUCAAGUUAUCAGACGUUGUUCAGCAGAUAAAGGUACAGGUAUUUUGAGUUUUUGGCAUUGAUUUUUAAAAUCCUGAACUGCUAAAGUUUAAUGUCAUAACAUUCAGCUAAUUGGUGCAUGCAACUCAACCUCAACAUGCUCAUUUUAUCAUUUGUCUGUCUCUGUCCAUCACCUCUUUCUUGGUGGGACAGGAUGAGGUUGGGGAUCCAGGGCUGGUGUUCUGUGUGUCUGUGGCUGGCACUCAUGUCCGGUGUGAAGGACUUGGCUAUGCUGACUUGGAGAAUUGUGUGCCGUGUGGCCCAGAAAUGGUGCUGAGGAUCGCCAGCAUCAGUAAACCCCAAACUACAGUAGCAGCUGGAGGGGAAGCUGUACCUAGAUGCCCCUGUCCAGAAAUAAGUCCCUGAGUUCCCCUGAAAAACAGGUUAAGGGAGAUGUGACUAUAACCCUGCGGUUGAUUCUCUCACCUGUGAGAGAAGUGGCAUACGGCACUAGAAGGAUGCUAAUAAGUGAGGGAGGACAUGGAGAAGGCCAAACAACUUUUGAAACUGCCUGGUAAAGAGGAAAAGGACUAAUUUUAUUACAAAGAGAACCCGAGGACAGCAGCACCAUGUGCAAGGAAACCAAACAGGGCCAGAAGAAAAAAUUAUUUGAGUUAGAGGAAUACUACCUGAAAGACAGCUUUGACUGUGUCAUUCAAGCCUUUGCUCUUUUCCAGGACGAUCCUCUCAUUUUCAAACCUGGUAGGUACCAUGUAAGAGUUAUGGCUGUCAAUCAAAUCAACAAAUUGAAUCCUAUGUGCAUUUAAAUGAAUUGACAGGAAAGUAAACUUUCGCAGACGACACCAUUCUACACCACACCACUAAACGCAGACGACACCAUUCUGUAUACUUCUGGCCCUUCUUUGGACACUGUGUUAAUUAACUAACCUGAAGACGAGCUUUAAUGCCAUACAUCUCUCCUUCCGUGGCCUCCAACUGCUCUUAAAUGCAAGUAAAACUAAAUGCAUGCACUUCAACCGAUCGCUGCCU